GACGAACGCUGGCGGCGGGCUUAACACAUGCAAGUCGAACGGAAAGGCCCUGCUUUUGUGGGGCGCUCGAGUGGCGAACGGGUGAGUAACCCGGGAGUAACCUGCCCUUGACUUUGGGAUAACUUCAGGAAACUGGGGCUAAUACCGGAUAGGAGCUCCUGCUGCAUGGUGGGGGUUGGAAAGUUUCGGCGGUGGGGGAUGGACUCGCGGGUUAUCAGCUGGUUGGUGGGGGAGUGGCUUACCAAGGCUUUGACGGGUAGCCGGCCUGAGAGGGUGAACGGCCACAUUGGGACUGAGAUAGGGAGCAGACUCCUACGGGAGGCAGCAGUGGGGAAUAUUGCACAAUGGGCGGAAGCCUGAUGCAGAAACGCCGCGUGCGGGAUGACGGCCUUCGGGUUGUAAACCGCUUUCGCCUGUGACGAAGCGUGAGUGACGGUAAUGGGUAAAGAAGCACCGGCUAACUACGUG
Molecule: ribosomal RNA, 468 nt
Filed under: uncultured bacterium
Lineage: Bacteria
Description: partial 16S ribosomal RNA
Rfam family: Bacterial small subunit ribosomal RNA
Source: RNAcentral